This 496-nucleotide ribosomal RNA is filed under the name uncultured bacterium. Its description in RNAcentral is "partial 16S ribosomal RNA". The stretch from base 16 to 379 matches the Rfam family "Bacterial small subunit ribosomal RNA", at positions 43 to 396 of the family's 1533-position model. The record is from RNAcentral.
GAUGAACGCUGGCGGCGUGCCUAAUACAUGCAAGUCGAGCGAACAGACGAGGAGCUUGCUCCUCUGACGUUAGCGGCGGACGGGUGAGUAACACGUGGAUAACCUACCUAUAAGACUGGGAUAACUUCGGGAAACCGGAGCUAAUACCGGAUAAUAUAUUGAACCGCAUGGUUCAAUAGUGAAAGACGGUUUUGCUGUCACUUAUAGAUGGAUCCGCGCCGCAUUAGCUAGUUGGUAAGUUAACGGCUUACCAAGGCGACGAUGCGUAGCCGACCUGAGAGGGGGAAGGCCAAAAGAGAAAAUGACAAGGGGCCAAGAACCCUAGGGGAGGCAGAAGGAGGGACGCUCCGGAAAGGGGGGAAAUACUGAGGGAGAAGCGGGGGGGGGGGGAAGAAGGGUUGCGAGAGGAAAAACUGUGUUAAGGGGAAAAAAAAAUUUGGAAAGUAAAUAGGCACGUUUGAAGGGAACAUAUAAAGAAACCCAGGCUAAAAAACGG